This 1265-nucleotide long non-coding RNA is filed under the name Citrus sinensis (sweet orange). RNAcentral describes it as "long non-coding RNA (CSIN_LNC004238)". The record is from RNAcentral. Lineage: Eukaryota; Viridiplantae; Streptophyta; Magnoliopsida; Sapindales; Rutaceae.
AAAAAAAAAAAGGGGUCGGAUUGUAUAAUUGGUGAAGGGGAACUGUUUUUGAAUUCAAAAACAAAGUGAGAGAACCCGUGAAAGAGAGAGAGAGAGAGAGAGAGAGGAAUUUUGACCCGUUGACCCGAAAACCCGACCCGGACCCGCGAUAUUGACCCAAACGGAUCUCCUAAUUCCGGCCACCUUACCGGUCGUGCUUGGUACCGAUCUGAAGCUUGGAAGCCGACCUUCGUAUCCCCGUGGUCCUCGUCGCCGAAAAUCGACCAGAACGCCGACGAUUUGAGCUCGAAAGUCGCGGCCAAGAUCCUUUUCCGUCGCCGUUGAUUCCGCCGGGUUUGUGACGCGCCACCACUUGGAACUGGUUCCUCACAUCUCCAGCAACAAUUUCUGACCAACCACGACCACCAGGGACGCCGGAAAAUCGUCGAACGACUACUGGAAAGUUUCAGAUUUUUUUGGAGCUUCGAUCCGCCGCCGGCAGCGUGCGUGGCGACUCACGGGCACCACCAUUGCACUCACCGAGGUCGGAACUAGCUGACCUAAGCUCCCCGUCAUCGUUGACUGAAGUCUGGUCACCGUUGACCGGCAGGGGCAAUUCGGUAAAUUCAUGAAACUUUGGGGUGAAUUUAUAAUUUUAUGUAAUUAGUGGACAUUUUGGUAAUUUUGAGUGAGGGCAAUGAAGUAAUUUAUGCUUUCGAGGGUAAUUCGGUAAUUUAAGACGUUAAGGACAUUUCGGACCUAAGCUCCCCGUCAUCGUUGACUGAAGUCCGGUCACCGUUGACCAGCAGGGGCAAUUCGAUAAAUUCAUGAAACUUUGGGGUGAAUUUGUAAUUUUAUGUAAUUAGUGGACAUUUUGGUAAUUUUGAGUGAGGGCAAUGAAGUAAUUUAUGCUUUCGAGGGUAAUUCGGUAAUUUAAGACGUUAAGGACAUUUCGAUAAUUUUAUGCCCCGAGGGUAAUUUCGUAAUUUUGGACAAUGUGAUUAAUUUAUGUAAUCUGAAUUGAGGACAAUAUGGUAAUUGACGAAUAUGAGGAUAAUUUGGUAAAAUAAUGAAGUUUGAGGAUAAGUUGGUAAAAUAUUGAUGUUGGGGGUAUUUUGGUAAUUUUGGCAUGUAGGGGCAUUUUGGUAAUUUUACUCAUGCGGGAAUAGUUUAUCGUUAAUAGAGAUUUGAUUCGAGAUUUAUUAUAUUAAAUUGGUUGUAUUUCUAUUUACGGAGAAUAAUUAUAGUGUUUCUGUGAUUAGGAGGAUCCGCAUCCGCGAACGAGA